GACGAACGCUGGCGGCGUGCUUAACACAUGCAAGUCGAACGAAAAGAGGGAAAGAGCUUGCUCUUUCCGGAAUUGAGUGGCAAACGGGUGAGUAACACGUAAACAACCUGCCUUCAGGAUGGGGGCAACAGACGGAAACGACUGCUAAUACCGAAUAAGUUCCAAGGGCCGCAUGGCCCAUGGAAGAAAAGGUGGCCUCUACCUGUAAGCUAUCGCCUGAAGAGGGGUUUGCGUCUGAUUAGCUGGUUGGAGGGGUAACGGCCCACCAAGGCGACGAUCAGUAGCCGGUCUGAGAGGAUGAACGGCCACACUGGAAUUGAGACACGGUCCAGACUCCUACGGGAGGCAGCAGUGGGGAAUCUUCCGCAAUGGGCGAAAGCCUGACGGAGCAACGCCGCGUGAGUGAUGACGGCCUUCGGGUUGUAAAACUCUGUGAUCCGGGACGAAAAGGCAGAGUGCGAAGAACAAACUGCAUUGACGGUACCGGAAAAGCAAGCCACGGCUAACUACGUG
RNAcentral lists this ribosomal RNA (513 nucleotides) under uncultured bacterium. RNAcentral describes it as "partial 16S ribosomal RNA". It matches the Rfam family "Bacterial small subunit ribosomal RNA", at positions 28 to 507 of the family's 1533-position model. The record is from RNAcentral.